CCGCUGAACUUAAGCAUAUCAAUAAGCGGAGGAAAAGAAACCAACAGGGAUUGCCCUAGUAACGGCGAGUGAAGCGGCAACAGCUCAAAUUUGAAAUCUGGCUUCGGCCCGAGUUGUAAUUUGCAGAGGAAGCUUCUGGUGCGGUGCCUUCCGAGUCCCCUGGAAUGGGGCGCCAUAGAGGGUGAGAGCCCCGUAUGGUCGGCCGCCUAGCCUGUGUGAAGCUCCUUCGACGAGUCGAGUAGUUUGGGAAUGCUGCUCAAAAUGGGAGGUAAAUUCCUUCUAAAGCUAAAUACUGGCCAGAGACCGAUAGCGCACAAGUAGAGUGAUCGAAAGAUGAAAAGCACUUUGAAAAGAGGGUUAAACAGCACGUGAAAUUGUUGAAAGGGAAGCGCUUGUGACCAGACUUGCGCCGGGCUGAUCAUCCGGUGU
RNAcentral lists this ribosomal RNA (429 nucleotides) under uncultured fungus. Its description in RNAcentral is "LSU rRNA". It matches the Rfam family "Eukaryotic large subunit ribosomal RNA", at positions 25 to 459 of the family's 3401-position model. The record is from RNAcentral. Lineage: Eukaryota; Fungi.